GAUGAACGCUGGCGGCGUGCCUAAUACAUGCAAGUCGAGCGAACAGACGAGGAGCUUGCUCCUCUGACGUUAGCGGCGGACGGGUGAGUAACACGUGGAUAACCUACCUAUAAGACUGGGAUAACUUCGGGAAACCGGAGCUAAUACCGGAUAAUAUAUUGAACCGCAUGGUUCGAUAGUGAAAGACGGUUUUGCUGUCACUUAUAGAUGGAUCCGCGCCGCAUUAGCUAGUUGGUAAGGUAACGGCUUACCAAGGCGACGAUGCGUAGCCGACCUGAGAGGGUGAUCGGCCACACUGGAACUGAGACACGGUCCAGACUCCUACGGGAGGCAGCAGUAGGGAAUCUUCCGCAAUGGGCGAAAGCCUGACGGAGCAACGCCGCGUGAGUGAUGAAGGUCUUCGGAUCGUAAAACUCUGUUAUUAGGGAAGAACAAAUGUGUAAGUAACUAUGCACGUCUUGACGGUACCUAAUCAGAAAGCCACGGCUAACUACGUG
Molecule: ribosomal RNA, 497 nt
Filed under: uncultured bacterium
Lineage: Bacteria
Description: partial 16S ribosomal RNA
Rfam family: Bacterial small subunit ribosomal RNA
Source: RNAcentral